RNAcentral lists this ribosomal RNA (254 nucleotides) under uncultured bacterium. RNAcentral describes it as "partial 16S ribosomal RNA". It matches the Rfam family "Bacterial small subunit ribosomal RNA", at positions 524 to 776 of the family's 1533-position model. The record is from RNAcentral.
GACGUAGGGUCCAAGCGUUGUCCGGAUUUACUGGGCGUAAAGAGCACGUAGGCGGCUUGUUAAGUGUGAAGUGAAAUCUCCAGAGCUCAACUCGGAAACCGCUUCGCAUACUGGCAAGCUAGAGGAAUGCAGAGGUAAGUGGAAUUCCUGGUGUAGCGGUGAAAUGCAUAGAUAUCAGGAGGAACACCCAUGGCGAAGGCAGCUUACUGGGCAUUAUCUGACGCUGAGGUGCGAAAGCGUGGGGAGCAAACAGG